This 490-nucleotide ribosomal RNA is filed under the name uncultured bacterium. RNAcentral's name for it is "partial 16S ribosomal RNA". It matches the Rfam family "Bacterial small subunit ribosomal RNA", at positions 30 to 507 of the family's 1533-position model. The record is from RNAcentral.
AUUGAACGCUGGCGGCAGGCCUAACACAUGCCAGUCGAACGGUAACAGAAAGCAGCUUGCUGCUUUGCUGACGAGUGGCGGACGGGUGAGUAAUGUCUGGGAAACUGCCUGAUGGAGGGGGAUAACUACUGGAAACGGUAGCUAAUACCGCAUAACGUCGCAAGACCAAAGAGGGGGACCUUCGGGCCUCUUGCCAUCGGAUGUGCCCAGAUGGGAUUAGCUAGUAGGUGGGGUAACGGCUCACCUAGGCGACGAUCCCUAGCUGGUCUGAGAGGAUGACCAGCCACACUGGAACUGAGACACGGUCCAGACUCCUACGGGAGGCAGCAGUGGGGAAUAUUGCACAAUGGGCGCAAGCCUGAUGCAGCCAUGCCGCGUGUAUGAAGAAGGCCUUCGGGUUGUAAAGUACUUUCAGCGGGGAGGAAGGGAGUAAAGUUAAUACCUUUGCUCAUUGACGUUACCCGCAGAAGAAGCACCGGCUAACUCCGUG